RNAcentral lists this ribosomal RNA (934 nucleotides) under Escherichia coli. Its description in RNAcentral is "partial 23S ribosomal RNA". It matches the Rfam family "Bacterial large subunit ribosomal RNA", at positions 588 to 1527 of the family's 2925-position model. Lineage: Bacteria; Pseudomonadati; Pseudomonadota; Gammaproteobacteria; Enterobacterales; Enterobacteriaceae. The record is from RNAcentral.
AUGGGGUGACUGCGUACCUUUUGUAUAAUGGGUCAGCGACUUAUAUUCUGUAGCAAGGUUAACCGAAUAGGGGAGCCGAAGGGAAACCGAGUCUUAACUGGGCGUUAAGUUGCAGGGUAUAGACCCGAAACCCGGUGAUCUAGCCAUGGGCAGGUUGAAGGUUGGGUAACACUAACUGGAGGACCGAACCGACUAAUGUUGAAAAAUUAGCGGAUGACUUGUGGCUGGGGGUGAAAGGCCAAUCAAACCGGGAGAUAGCUGGUUCUCCCCGAAAGCUAUUUAGGUAGCGCCUCGUGAAUUCAUCUCCGGGGGUAGAGCACUGUUUCGGCAAGGGGGUCAUCCCGACUUACCAACCCGAUGCAAACUGCGAAUACCGGAGAAUGUUAUCACGGGAGACACACGGCGGGUGCUAACGUCCGUCGUGAAGAGGGAAACAACCCAGACCGCCAGCUAAGGUCCCAAAGUCAUGGUUAAGUGGGAAACGAUGUGGGAAGGCCCAGACAGCCAGGAUGUUGGCUUAGAAGCAGCCAUCAUUUAAAGAAAGCGUAAUAGCUCACUGGUCGAGUCGGCCUGCGCGGAAGAUGUAACGGGGCUAAACCAUGCACCGAAGCUGCGGCAGCGACACUGUGUGUUGUUGGGUAGGGGAGCGUUCUGUAAGCCUGUGAAGGUGUGCUGUGAGGCAUGCUGGAGGUAUCAGAAGUGCGAAUGCUGACAUAAGUAACGAUAAAGCGGGUGAAAAGCCCGCUCGCCGGAAGACCAAGGGUUCCUGUCCAACGUUAAUCGGGGCAGGGUGAGUCGACCCCUAAGGCGAGGCCGAAAGGCGUAGUCGAUGGGAAACAGGUUAAUAUUCCUGUACUUGGUGUUACUGCGAAGGGGGGACGGAGAAGGCUAUGUUGGCCGGGCGACGGUUGUCCCGGUUUAAGCGUGUAGGCUG